RNAcentral lists this ribosomal RNA (236 nucleotides) under uncultured bacterium. RNAcentral describes it as "partial 16S ribosomal RNA". It matches the Rfam family "Bacterial small subunit ribosomal RNA", at positions 113 to 334 of the family's 1533-position model. The record is from RNAcentral.
CAACGUAGGUAAUCUACCUUUGGGUGGGGAAUAACAACCGGAAACGGUUGCUAAUACCGCAUAAUGCAGCGGCACCACAUGGUGACAGUUGUUAACGCGGGGGAUCGCAAGACCUCGCGCCUAAAGAGGAGCCUGCGGCGGAUUAGCUAGUUGGUAGGGUAAUGGCCUACCAAGGCAACGAUCCGUAGCCGGCCUGAGAGGGCGGUCGGCCACACUGACACUGAAAUACGGGUCAG